Molecule: long non-coding RNA, 898 nt
Organism: Hemicordylus capensis (graceful crag lizard)
Lineage: Eukaryota; Metazoa; Chordata; Lepidosauria; Squamata; Cordylidae
Exons: 5
Source: RefSeq, a predicted model, not a curated record
AGGAAAUCAAGAACUACAGUUAAAUCACAACACACAAGAGGAGAGGAAAAGAGGAGGAAGUGGACAAGGGCAAGAGUAGGUGGAGGCCGGCUGACAGCAGAGGCGGCAAAAGGCUUCUGCUGCAUUUACCUGCAGCCAACCAACAUCCUGAUGUGGUUACAAGUGGCAAAAUAAUUAUGUGCCAGCUGGUAGGGGCAUAACAUUGAGACAAGGGUCACUAAUUCAUGGCAUGGAGGUCAGCUGCUGGGAGCUGCUGCAAAAGGAAAAGGCCCACACAUGAUCAAAAAUAUCAAGACUGCAGGUCCCAGGCAUACCUCCUUAAGCAAUGAGUUGCAAAGUCUGGGCACCAUGACAGAGAGCUGGUUGUCCCUGAGCGGAGAACGGCGACGUGACCAGUGUACAGAAAGACAGAGACAGUGCAGAGUAGAAGCAGUCCGUCUUCAGGCUGUAUUGUUUCAUGCUGCAGAUUAAAGGAUCAGAAGAUAUGCCUAUGUUCAAGAUAUGCCUAUGAGAAGAAUAGCAAAUGCAAUUAAGAUCCUUAUAUUUUCUUUGUGCUCAGAUAUGUAUCUGAUGUUAUAGUAGUACUUCUUUUGUCAGUUGUAAGCAGUGUUCUCAGUGCGAUAUGUUUAAGAGUAAUCGAGCAUUCAGCCUCUUCUUAGAUGGUAGUUAAUGCAGUAGAGAAACAUUCUCUUUGAGUUAUAAUUAAGAUAAUGAAUACAUUAAUCCAUAUCCAUUCUCUAGUUUGGAAAGUUUUCUGCAUUAAUUAUUUUGCUGGCUCAAAAAUUAACCACAAAAUGAGGUUACUCCACAUUAAACAUUGACUUUUUUUCUUUUUCUUUUUUGGUUGGGUAUAACUUGCUGUACUGCGGAACCAAUAUUUUAAUAUUAAAAAACCUAA